RNAcentral lists this ribosomal RNA (459 nucleotides) under uncultured bacterium. Its description in RNAcentral is "bacterial SSU rRNA". It matches the Rfam family "Bacterial small subunit ribosomal RNA", at positions 923 to 1379 of the family's 1533-position model. The record is from RNAcentral.
GCACAAGCGGUGGAGCAUGUGGUUCAAUUCGACGCAACGCGCAGAACCUUACCAGCCCUUGACAUGGGACUCGCCGGGAGCAGAGACGCUCCCUUCGGUUCGGCCGGAGUCCGCACAGGUGCUGCAUGGCUGUCGUCAGCUCGUGUCGUGAGAUGUUGGGUUAAGUCCCGCAACGAGCGCAACCCUCGUCUCCAGUUGCCAUCAGGUUAUGCUGGGCACUUUGGAGAAACUGCCGGUGACAAGCCGGAGGAAGGUGGGGAUGACGUCAAGUCCUCAUGGCCCUUACGGGCUGGGCUACACACGUGCUACAAUGGCGGUGACAAUGGGAUGCGAUGGCGCGAGCCGGAGCCGAUCCUAAAAAACCGUCUCAGUUCGGAUUGCACUCUGCAACUCGAGUGCAUGAAGUUGGAAUCGCUAGUAAUCGAGGAUCAGCAUGCCUCGGUGAAUACGUUCCCGGGC